This 385-nucleotide ribosomal RNA is filed under the name uncultured bacterium. RNAcentral describes it as "bacterial SSU rRNA". It matches the Rfam family "Bacterial small subunit ribosomal RNA", at positions 524 to 906 of the family's 1533-position model. The record is from RNAcentral.
UACGUAGGGUGCGAGCGUUGUCCGGAAUUACUGGGCGUAAAGAGCUCGUAGGUGGUUUGUCGCGUCGUUUGUGUAAUACCGCAGCUUAACUGCGGGGUUGCAGGCGAUACGGGCAUAACUUGAGUGCUGUAGGGGAGACUGGAAUUCCUGGUGUAGCGGUGGAAUGCGCAGAUAUCAGGAGGAACACCGAUGGCGAAGGCAGGUCUCUGGGCAGUAACUGACGCUGAGGAGCGAAAGCAUGGGUAGCGAACAGGAUUAGAUACCCUGGUAGUCCAUGCCGUAAACGGUGGGCGCUAGGUGUGAGUCCCUUCCACGGGGUUCGUGCCGUAGCUAACGCAUUAAGCGCCCCGCCUGGGGAGUACGGCCGCAAGGCUAAAACUCAGAG